GACGAACGCUGGCGGCGUGCUUAACACAUGCAAGUCGAACGGGUCUGCCCUGUUUUUUGCGGGGUGGGUCAGUGGCGAUCGGGUGAGUAACACGUGAGUAACCUGCCCCUCACUUCUGGAUAACCGCUUGAAAGGGUGGCUAAUACGGGGUGUUCUGGCUGUGCCGCAUGGUGUGGCUGGGAAAGAUUCACUUUUGUGGUGUUUUGGUGGGGGAUGGGCUCGCGGCCUAUCAGCUUGUUGGGGGGGUGAUGGCCUGCCAAGGCUUUGACGGGUAGCCGGCCUGGGAGGGUGGGCGGUCACACUGGGACGGAGGUACGGCCCAGACUCCUGCGGGAGGCAGCAGUGGGGGGUAUUGCACAAUGGGCGGAAGCCUGAUGCAGCGACGUCGCGUGAGGGAUGGAGGCCUUCGGGUUGUGAACCUCUUUCGCCGGUGAAGAAGGUCCUGCUCUUUGUGGUGGGGUUGACGGUAGCCGGGUUAUGAAGCGCCGGCUAACUACGUG
This 500-nucleotide ribosomal RNA is filed under the name uncultured bacterium. RNAcentral's name for it is "partial 16S ribosomal RNA". It matches the Rfam family "Bacterial small subunit ribosomal RNA", at positions 28 to 507 of the family's 1533-position model. The record is from RNAcentral.